UGGACCGAAUGAUGACAACCACUGGUGGCAUAUGAGUCAUGGACGAUGAGUACAUCUCUGGAACUCUGAGGUCCGU
Small nucleolar RNA from Microcebus murinus (gray mouse lemur), 76 nucleotides. Ensembl annotates it as small nucleolar RNA, C/D box 114-25. Its record names the gene SNORD114-25. Lineage: Eukaryota; Metazoa; Chordata; Mammalia; Primates; Cheirogaleidae. The record is from Ensembl.